UAAUAUAUCUGACCACACUGGCUCUGCAAGGCUGUGGCUGAAGACGGCUUAAACGUUGUCCUUGAGUGAAUAUCUUAACAUUUAUUGUAUCUUUUAUUUUCUUAACAAAAAUGAAGGAGUUUGUGAAUGUGUGGUUUUCCAUCAAAAAUUGGGAAUCAUGCCCUUUCAUCCAACACAGUUUUGACACAAUUUGAUGAAGUGAAAAAACAUUGGAGCAGAAGCAAAAAUUCCUAAGAAGGAGUCUCACCUCUUACCAUCAACCUAGUGUUCACUUUUGGUCCAUCUUUUCUCCU
Molecule: long non-coding RNA, 293 nt
Organism: Sapajus apella (tufted capuchin)
Lineage: Eukaryota; Metazoa; Chordata; Mammalia; Primates; Cebidae
Exons: 4
Source: RefSeq, a predicted model, not a curated record